This 316-nucleotide ribosomal RNA is filed under the name uncultured eukaryote. Its description in RNAcentral is "partial 18S ribosomal RNA". It matches the Rfam family "Eukaryotic small subunit ribosomal RNA", at positions 1470 to 1796 of the family's 1831-position model. The record is from RNAcentral.
CCCCUAGAUGUUCUGGGCCGCACGCGCGCUACACUGAACAGUUCAACAAGUCUUAACCUUGGCCGAUAGGUCUGGGUAAUCUUUGAACGCUGUUCGUGAUUGGGAUAGACCUUUGCAAUUAUGGGUCUUCAACGAGGAAUUCCUAGUAAACGCAAGUCAUCAACUUGCAUUGAUUACGUCCCUGCCCUUUGUACACACCGCCCGUCGCACCUACCGAUUGAAUGGUCCGGUGAAGCCUCCGGAUUGGCGUGCACCCUCGGGUGCUGCCGAGAAGUUGGCUAAACCUUACCAUUUAGAGGAAGGUGAAGUCGUAACA